UUGUGGAGGUUUUUAAUCGCUGUUUCAGUGGGCCUACAAAACGCAUAGUGCGAGAGGAAGGCGUUGCUUGCAGGAAGGCUCGGUGAACCGAGGGACACUCGGCUGUGGCCUCGCUAUGAUGAAGCCUGUGUUGGAAUGAUGGGGAGGACUGAUGCGAUAUUACUGCUCAAGACAACCUCGGGGAAGAAACGUGCCAAGGAUGGAUGAGGAUUGAGGACCUACAGAGCAAGGCAGUUGAACCAUGGCUAUACAGUAGGUGGUGGUACAGAAGUGCAGACGCUAACAUGGUGCAGUUUUAACUGUCCGGACCAGCUCUUGUUAUACGGUCCAGAAUGUGGAGGCCUGUUACAUGAAGGUGUUCCUAGUCAGCUGGACUGAUGCCCAGCACAGGCUUCAUGCAAAGGUGGACAAGUUGGCAUGUUGUCCUGACACUUUGAAGGGCUCUUUAAGGCAGCAAGUAUGGCGGCAUAUAACCCCUCAUGAGGUGAGGAUUGAAAACUUCCCUGUGAGGUGGCUGGCCACUCCAGAAUACAUGAUGAUCACCCCAGCUUGAACUCUCUCACUGAUCACUUGAUGAUAAUUAAAGAUCUGAUAUUCUGUUGUGUUUUCCAAGUACCAUUUAAAUUGAGGUCUGCACAUAAGACUGAAAGUGUUCUUUUGUUUCAGGCACCUGAAUAGAAGCUCUGGAAUAAGAAAGUAAACAAUCAUAACAAUCAUAAAUAAAGACAUCUUGUAAACUUG
This is a long non-coding RNA of Jaculus jaculus (lesser Egyptian jerboa), 741 nucleotides long. RefSeq lists it as uncharacterized. The transcript has 10 exons. Lineage: Eukaryota; Metazoa; Chordata; Mammalia; Rodentia; Dipodidae. The record is from RefSeq and is a predicted model, not a curated record.